GCUUACACAUGCAGUCGAACGAACUCUUCGGAGUGAGUGGCGGACGGGUGAGUAACGCGUGAGAAUCUGCCUGUGGGUCGGGGACAACCACUGGAAACGGUGGCUAAUACCGGAUGAGCCGAAAGGUAAAAAAUUUAUUGCCCACAGAUGAGCUUGCGUCUGAUUAGCUAGUUGGUAAGGUAAAAGCGUACCAAGGCGACGAUCAGUAGCUGGUCUGAGAGGAUGAGCAGCCACACUGGGACUGAGACACGGCCCAGACUCCUACGGGAGGCAGCAGUGGGGAAUUUUCCGCAAUGGGCGAAAGCCUGACGGAGCAAGACCGCGUGGGGGAGGAAGGUUUUUGGAUCGUAAACCCCUUUUGUCAAGGAAGAAGUUCUGACGGUACUUGACGAAUAAGCCUCGGCUAACUCCGUGCCAGCAGCCGCGGUAAUACGGAGGAGGCAAGCGUUAUCCGGAAUGAUUGGGCGUAAAGCGUCUGUAGGUGGCCAGCUAAGUCUGCUGUUAAGAUCACAGCUCA
This 517-nucleotide ribosomal RNA is filed under the name uncultured bacterium. RNAcentral describes it as "bacterial SSU rRNA". It matches the Rfam family "Bacterial small subunit ribosomal RNA", at positions 46 to 611 of the family's 1533-position model. The record is from RNAcentral.